GAUGAAGAACGUAGCGAAAUGCGAUAAGUAAUGUGAAUUGCAGAAUUCAGUGAAUCAUCGAAUCUUUGAACGCACAUUGCGCCCCCUGGCAUUCCGGGGGGCAUGCCUGUUCGAGCGUCAUUACAACCCUCAAGCUCUGCUUGGUAUUGGGCUCUGCCGGUCCCGGCAGGCCUUAAAAUCAGUGGCGGUGCCACUCGGCUUCAAGCGUAGUAAUUCUUCUCGCUUCGGAGACCCGGGUGCGUGCUAGCCAGCAACCCCCCACUUUCUCAGGUUGACCUCGGAUCAGGUAGGGAUACCCGCUGAACUUAAGCAUAUCAAUAAGCGGAGGA
This 329-nucleotide unclassified non-coding RNA is filed under the name soil metagenome. Its description in RNAcentral is "partial contains 5.8S ribosomal RNA, internal transcribed spacer 2, and large subunit ribosomal RNA". The stretch from base 1 to 120 matches the Rfam family "5.8S ribosomal RNA", at positions 35 to 154 of the family's 154-position model. The record is from RNAcentral.